RNAcentral lists this ribosomal RNA (475 nucleotides) under uncultured bacterium. RNAcentral describes it as "bacterial SSU rRNA". It matches the Rfam family "Bacterial small subunit ribosomal RNA", at positions 24 to 518 of the family's 1533-position model. The record is from RNAcentral.
UCAGGACGAACGCUGGCGGCGUGCUUCAUACAUGCAAGUCGAACGAGAAGUUGACUUCGGUCAAUGGAAAGUGGCGGACGGGUGAGUAAAAUGUAGAGAAUCUGCCCUAGAGAGGGGGACAACAGUUGGAAACGACUGCUAAUACCGCAUAUGAGCGUACCUGCAAUGGUAUUCUUGAAAGAUUUAUCGCUCUGGGAUGAGUCUGCAUCUGAUUAGUUAGUUGGCGGUGUAAUGGACCACCAAGACGACGAUCAGUAGCUGGUUUGAGAGGAUGAUCAGCCACAAUGGGACUGAGACACGGCCCAUACUCCUACGGGAGGCAGCAGUAGGGAAUUUUGCGCAAUGGGCGAAAGCCUGAACCGCAGCAACGCCGCGUGAUUGAAUAAGCCCUUCGGGGUGUAAAGAUCUGUCAGUGGGGACGAAACUUGACGGUACCCACAGAGGAAGCAUCGGCUAACUCCGUGCCAGCCGCCGC